UUGAUAUUUUGUGCUUAUUAUUGUUGUACGUAGCUGCUUUGUGUUGUUGUACAUCAUGGUGUCUAUGGGUUUCUUCGACCUGUAAAACCCUAAAAAAGAAAGAUUCACAUCCAGUUGAUCAACACCGCCGUUCCUUCCCGAUCUUAACAUCACCACUACCAUCCAUCUCCGUCAGUCCGUCACCACCACCAUUCCCCUCUCCUCUCUGUCUCUUCCCUCUGUGAAACUAUGACCACCAUCUUUGCCAUCUCCAAUAGCCGCUGUAAACAACCCAGCCCUGAAGUACCGAAAUUGUAAAAUCGGUUAUUGUUAGCGGUGAUUUAAAGUCGACGCCAUCGAUUCCGCUUGAGGAUACGCCUUACUUUUGACUCAUCGCGUACAUGUAACCAAGAUAGAGAGUGAGAAACAUCAAAAGAGGUGAGAUGCAGGUUUGAGAGAAAAAGGGAGUCUGAGAGAGAAAGAGAGAGAUGCAGAGCAAUGUAGAGAGAGAAUGGUGGUCUACGAAGUCAGAUCGAUGACUGUUGUGGUACGCUUCGAGCUUAAACAAUGCCGCCUUAACCGGCGAUGCCACGACUGGCCGGCUUAAAACCUCAACGAUGUCGUUGCUUGGCCGGGUUUUUGCGGAUCUGAUUGGGUUUGGACAUGAUGUCAAGGUACACCUUUACUGAACUAGGUUACUGAAUUUCAUAUCUGUGUGAUAUUGAAUGUUUAUUUCACUUUUGAUGGAAAGAAGAUGCAAAACUCAAGAUCCUCAUUGAAAACAAUGGUACUGGAGACAUCCGAACAGCAGCAGCAGAGAGAGACAAAACUUUGACAGAAAUUGGGCAGAGAGUUUUGCUGAAAAAGGGGUUCUCGGAAUUGCACCAGCUCUCGCAUACAUCGUCUUUGGUGUUGUUACACGUUUAUCGCCUGCUUCUGUGUUCAUCGUUGCAGGGUGGUAGGUAUGAGACAACUAUCUUCUUGGGGUGUUGGGUCAAGUAUUGACUGUUGUUUGCACAGGUAGAAAGAAUGGUUAAUGAAGCUGACAAGUUCGCAAAAGAAAAGGACACGAAGAACCAAGCAGAUUCGGUUGUGUACCAAACAGAGAAACAACUAAAAGGGACUAGGAGACAAAGUUCCUGCAUAUGUGAAAGAAAAGCUGGAGACCAAACUCGGUGAGCUCAGGACGGCCGUAUCUGGCAGGUCAACACAAACCAUAAAAGACACCACGGAUGCACUCAACCAAGAGGUGAUGCAGCUGGGCCAGUCUCUCUACAACUAGCCUGGCCCGGGGUCAAGGUGGACUUUGUCAACCACCGGCUACCAGUUUUGGGUAUUUUAUGGUCUGGCUUUCUAGCUUCUCUUGGUAACAACAUUUUCUACGUUUCAAAUUCCCUUGAUUUUAUUUACCAUUUUCUAUUUUUUGUAGGCACAAUUUAUUGCGGAGAAAAUUUCCGGCUACAUCUUUUGCUGGAAGUUUGGUUCAACAUUUUCAAUUGGUUUUAACAGUUUGGAUGUUUGGUUCAACCAUCGUAAACCAAUUUUUCUAAAGAAACAUAAUUAUGUAUUAAUUUAUGUUUAUAUAUAUGAUGUAUUUAUAACUAGAUAUCAUUAAUAUAUGAUGGGGUUUGUUGGAUUGGGAUUAAUGUGGUUGUUGUUCUUAAGCAUUUGCACACGUUUUUGAUUUGGUUGAUGUUUUUGUUGUUUUUUUUUUUGUACUGUACAGAUCCAGCUUCUACGGGUAUGACAGAGGAUCCAAUCCAUUAGACAUCUUCACAAGCUGAUGCUUUGUCGAUUAGUACGUGGCGAACACUCCAGAAGUAAACCAAAAGACAAGGUUUUGGUCACCUAACAUGCGCUCACACUUUUGACGUAAAGAGGACAUGGUUUAGGCGAACCCUUUUUUGACAACACCUGCCUACCCACCGGAUUCAUUUAAAAACAAGCAAAGACCAUGAAGCGCGACGCAACGCGCGCACCAGUAAACCCCUAGUUUAACUCUAAAAACAAAUAUAAAUAAAGAAAAAAGGGAUUCGAAUGUAGUGUUAACUGGACCAGGCCUUCAAGCCAUUUUCAUUAGAUGGUAGCCCAGUCCAUGUCUAUUUGUGCUUCCUUUUGGUGUGUUUUAAUUAUGUUUCAUACUUUCAUAUAUGCUUAUUUGAAAUUGAAAAAUA
Helianthus annuus (common sunflower) is the source of this 2153-nucleotide RNA transcript. RefSeq lists it as uncharacterized. The record is from RefSeq and is a predicted model, not a curated record. The transcript is spliced from 7 exons. Lineage: Eukaryota; Viridiplantae; Streptophyta; Magnoliopsida; Asterales; Asteraceae.